UUUCACUCUCUCUAUAUCUAUGCAAAUACCUCUUCAUUAGACCACCAUAAUCAUCAAACCCUAAAGUUCCAAAGCCCAAAGCGUGGUCGCCGUUCACCAUUUUCCGGCACUUCUCCGGCACUUCUUCAAGGACAGUUGCUAGCCUUCCCCAAAUCCCCAAAUUCAAAAAUCAGAUUUGUGCUCGAAUCAGAGAAGUCCAAAAUCACUAUAGCCUGUGGAAGAAGAAGCGUAUGAGGAAGCUGAAGAGAAAGCUCAGAAAGAUGAGAUAGAGAUCUAAGUAAAGCAGGGUGCCUAUGAUGCUUUCUUGGGAUCUAGAAGAUUUCUAUUUCGUCUAACACUGGGCCGUCUCCAGACUGAAGAGGCUAAGUUUAGUAAAGCUGAGAAGAAUGUGAAAGAGUUGAGCAGUUGGAAGAGUGGAUCUCACUGAAAACGAUAUGAAACGUGGCAUGUCCGAGCUUCAACGCUUAUUUUCUUCAUUCAUAUACUCA
This is a long non-coding RNA of Nicotiana attenuata, 488 nucleotides long. RefSeq lists it as uncharacterized. Lineage: Eukaryota; Viridiplantae; Streptophyta; Magnoliopsida; Solanales; Solanaceae. The transcript is spliced from 4 exons. The record is from RefSeq and is a predicted model, not a curated record.